UACGGAGGAUCCGAGCGUUAUCCGGAUUUAUUGGGUUUAAAGGGUGCGCAGGCGGGGGAUUAAGUCGGCGGUGAAAUUUUGCAGCUCAACUGUAAAAGUGCCUUCGAAACUGGUUUCCUUGAGUGUAGAUGAAGUAGGCGGAAUUUGUGGUGUAGCGGUGAAAUGCAUAGAUAUCACGAGGAACUCCGAUUGCGAAGGCAGCUUACUAAGCUACUACUGACGCUCAGGCACGAAGGCGUGGGGAUCAAACAGGAUUAGAUACCCCCGGUAGUCCCUGA
RNAcentral lists this ribosomal RNA (278 nucleotides) under uncultured prokaryote. Its description in RNAcentral is "partial 16S ribosomal RNA". It matches the Rfam family "Bacterial small subunit ribosomal RNA", at positions 524 to 800 of the family's 1533-position model. The record is from RNAcentral.